CUAGGGAUUAGAAACAAAGUAUAAUUGUGGUUCCCACUCGUACGGGUCACCUUUUCCAGUUUUUAAAGAUCGGACAUGGAACCAGGUCUAAGCUUGGGAGAGGGUUGAGUGACCGAAUUUGGUUUCUUGAGAGAACAUGAAGACCUGAAAGCUUCCACCUGCAUUUCUGGUACUCGCCCUUAUU
Molecule: long non-coding RNA, 184 nt
Organism: Telopea speciosissima
Lineage: Eukaryota; Viridiplantae; Streptophyta; Magnoliopsida; Proteales; Proteaceae
Exons: 3
Source: RefSeq, a predicted model, not a curated record